GUCCACGCCGUAAACGAUGUCGACUUGGAGGUUGUUCCCUUGAGGAGUGGCUUCCGGAGCUAACGCGUUAAGUCGACCGCCUGGGGAGUACGGCCGCAAGGUUAAACUCAAAUGAAUUGACGGGGCCCGCACAAGCGGUGGAGCAUGUGGUUUAAUUCGAUGCAACGCGAAGAACCUUACCUACUCUUGACAUCCACGGAAUUUAGCAGAGAUGCUUUAGUGCCUUCGGGAACCGUGAGACAGGUGCUGCAUGGCUGUCGU
This 261-nucleotide ribosomal RNA is filed under the name uncultured bacterium. Its description in RNAcentral is "partial 16S ribosomal RNA". It matches the Rfam family "Bacterial small subunit ribosomal RNA", at positions 793 to 1055 of the family's 1533-position model. The record is from RNAcentral.